CAAGAACCGAUGUUAAUCUUCUUUGCAAAUUGAUCAACAUGAUCUGGCAGCUAAAUAACGAUGAUGAAAAAAAGUGUUAAUGGUGAGAAUGAACAUACUUGAAUGGAGAAUUGGAUAGAAUUGAUUCUGUUGCAAUAACAGGUACAAUGGUAUGAUUGAUUAUAGUUCGUGGCGUAUUGCCAGGCAUUGGUAAAUUAACCAAAGGAUAGCUAGAAGAAAAAAUAAUAACAAUCAGAAUAAUGUUAUUUGCCUUUAAUUGCUAUUUACUCACUGAAUUAUGAAUGAAUAUAAAAUUUAAAAAAGAAAUACUAACCAGCAUAGUAAUAUAAUUGAAACUGCCAAUGAAAUGACUGCAACAGGAUGAGAUGAACAAAACAGGCCAUGGGCAUAAUAUAGCCCUGCCACCCUAUCUGGUAAA
Long non-coding RNA from Apis florea (little honeybee), 418 nucleotides. The record is from RefSeq and is a predicted model, not a curated record. Lineage: Eukaryota; Metazoa; Arthropoda; Insecta; Hymenoptera; Apidae.